Molecule: long non-coding RNA, 4064 nt
Filed under: Homo sapiens (human)
Lineage: Eukaryota; Metazoa; Chordata; Mammalia; Primates; Hominidae
Description: non-protein coding BOLA3-AS1:3
Source: RNAcentral
GGCCGUCAGCCUCCCGGCCCCGCCCCGGAGGCCUCCGGUCGCCUGGCUCCGGCCCCACCCCGCCAUCCCCUGGCCCUGGCUGACUCGCCACCCCCGACACUGCAGCGCCUGCCGACCUCGGGGCCCCGCCCUCUGCCUUCGCUCGCGCCGCUCUCCUUCAGUCUCCCCAGGGCCUGUUUCAUGGAUAGGGUCCCCUUGCCCGCGUGAAAGUCUCAUUCCUCCUCAGCUCAGAAACACUCCAAGGUGCGGGGACUCGUGGAAGGAUUUGAUUCGCGCUUGAGAAAGAUCGCUCCGCUCCUGUAAGGAAGAGAGCGUGUAGGGGCUGCAACCAGAGACACAGUCAGAAGCUCCGAGGCUACCGCGAUGGUCCAGGUGCCACAGGACACAGCCUAACAGAGGCCCAGGUUGGAGCCAUGGACCAUGGAGUCAUGAGAAUGGAAGGGAAGCUGACGCCAUGUGGGAUGGGGUAGAACUGUCCGCAAAUUCGUCCCGCCUCUGGAGUCUUCAGACCAGUCAAGGCCGAAAUUCAACCAAGCCUCUCCUCUCUCUAGCUGUUAUUUGUUUGCAGCACGCGGUCUGGUGGCACCCUGCAGGAUUUACCAGCUUUUUGCCAACAUUCUGGCCUAUGCAAUCAAUACGUCCCUUCAGCGUUGCACUUGGAUGGAUUGGACCUAUAGUUGUUAUAUAUGGAUAUUGUCUAAUUUAUUUAUUACAGUAUUAACUGACUCCUAUGUUCUGGCCUUCAGAAUUUCUCCUUUGGAUCAAUUACUAGCCUGUCUUACAUUUUCUGCUUCAUUCUUUUAAAAUGUUUAGAGAUGAUUUGCUAAGUUUUCUUCAUUGCUGUCAAUGAUGCAAUUUAAACUGUCAAAAAAAUUUUUUCUCAAGCAGGGUAGUAAUGGUGAACCAUUCCCUUGCUAUUCAGACAGCAUGGUUUAGAUGAGGCGCACCUAUCCCCAGCUUUAGGAAUGGAAACAGGACCCAAGUCUGGCUAAUCAGAGACUGGUUUAGGGUCGGCCCCAUGGUCUGAGCCAGACCAAUGAGAAUUGGUAGAGGGACUUCCUUUUGCAACUUCUAUUUUAGAAUCGGGGGUAUAUAUGCAGGCUUGUUACAGAGGUAUAUUGCAUGGUGCUGAGGUUUGGAGUAUGAACGAAUCCGUCCUUCAGGUAAUGAGCAUAGUACCCAAUAGGUAGUUUCAACCCUUGCCCCCUUCCUCCUUCCCCAGUCUUGUAUUCCCCAGUGUCUGUUGUUCCCAGACAUUGAUCUUUUUCCUCUAUGUUGCUAAGCUGGUAGAAAGGCUGGAGUUGCUGGCAACCAUCUUUGCAACCAUGCAGGGAGAACUACUUUGGAAAUGAAGCAAGAUAAAGAAGAAAACAGAUAAAAGGAGACAAAUGUUUGACUUUGUACAGCUGGAAACCAGCAAUGCUGGAAAUGAGCACUGAAGGCAGUUUAAUGGGUUUGUCACUUGUAACCAAGUGACCCAUGGCAAGCUCACAGAUUUGUAUUGGCAGAAUUCCUCCUUUUCUUUAUUUAAAAUGGUACUUUUGGCCAGGCAAGGUGGUUCACACCUGUAAUCCAAAGACUUUGGGAGGCCGAGGCGCACUGAUCACCCAAGGUCAGAAGUUCGAGAACAGCCUGGCCAACAUUGGCGAAACCCCAUCUCUACUAAAAAUACAAACCAUUAGCUGGCUGCGGUGGCCUUUCUACCAGCUUUUUGUCUCAAAAAAAAAAAAAAAAAAGGUACUUUUGCUUAUCUCUAACCUUCCUCUUCCCCAUAAUUUAACAGUUGCCCAUACUAUCUGUUACUCUGAGCUACUCUCUGCCCCAUUCUCCUCCUCUUAUCUUCAGUUCCUCCUAGGCUGUCAGAGCCAUCUGAAAUGAAAACAUUUAGGCCGGGCAUAGUGGUUCAUGCCUGUAAUCCCAGCACUUUGGGAGGCUGAGGCAGGCGGAUCAGCUGAGGUCAGGAGUUCAAGACCACCCUGGUCAACAUGGUGAAACCCCAUCUCUACUAAAAAUACAAAAAUUAUCCAGACAUGGUGGCACAUGCCUCUACUCCCAGCUACUUGGGAGGCUGAGGCAGGAGAAUCGCUUGAACCUAGGAGGCAGGGGUUGCAGUGAGCCGAGAUUGAGCCACUGCACUCUAGCCUGGGCGACAGAGUGAGACUUUGUCUAAAAAACAUAAAUAAAAUAAAAUGAAAUGAAAACAUUUGCUACUUGAAAUCCUUCAGAUUCCCCAUCGCCUACCUACAGGCAAAACUCUCAAGUUCUUUUGUAUGAUUUAACCACUAUCUACCUGUCCAACUGAAAUCUACCCUUCAGUAAUAUUAUACUUGCACCUCCCUUCAUAAGCUAUGCUACAAGUUUGGUUAUGCAGUUGCCCACCUUUUAAGGUUCAAGCCUUGUCUUCUCCAAAGAGCCACCUCUGACUGCCUCACAGUAAGCUUAGGGCCCGCAACUUACCUGUAACUUUUGUUGCACUUAUGGCCUUUUACAACUAUCAAUUUAUGUAUGUGUCUGUUCUCACUGGUUUAUAAGCUCCCUGAGGACAGAGCCUUGCUUGAGUCAUCUGUCAGCAGCCCAAUAUGGGACAAAAAGUGCAUGCAUUGUAAUUACUGAACAGAACUGAUAGAGGCUCAGCAAUUUGCGCUCCAUAGGUCUAAGUUUGAACUUUUCUAGAAAAGGAUUUGCAGGACGAUCUGACGAAUCUUGGGCUUCCAAAUUAGUUCCAACAGUUCUAGUAUUUUUUUUUUUUUUUGACAGAAGCAAAUAAGUAAGUUUUACUUUGUGAUUAAAACAAAAGUGAAAUGCAUUUAGUCCCAGGAAAUGUCAAUCCUUUCUGCAUCUUACUUUUUUUUGCUGUGACCUCGAGAUUCUCUUGUUCUCUUCAGUUGUAUUGGUCCAUGAUCACUCAUAGCUUUCAUACACAUAUAUACAUCUGAAACUCAGAAAAUUCAUUAGGUAGGAACUCUUUGGAUGCAUCUCCUUUUUUAACCUCAUUGGGAUGAUUUUUCGUUGCACCAUCAUUUUAUAGAGCUUCCUAGCACUGCUGAGCAUGCAGAAUUUUUGCAAAUGCAAUCCAGAGAAACAGACUUGCUAUAUACUAGCUAUUUGAACUUGUCUGAGCUUAUGUGGCAUGGUCUAAAGAAUACUGAAAUAUUUCUGGCAUACCUCUUAAUUGCAGUCACUUUCUCCAGGUUGCUUUAUGGAUUAAAUGAGAUAACCUACUAAAGGACUCCAGUAAAAAGCUAAAAAGGUAGCUAGCUUUUGAGGUGUUGUGGCAGACUGGCAUCUAGUGGCCAGCGAUAAAGGUGCAGACUAGUGUCCACACCUAAGUGGGGACAGUGCAGGCUGUAAUGUCCAUACCUAGUGGGGACAUCAAUGGGGUAUUUGUCAGAGAAGCUCCAUGGCAUAGUUUGGACAUUGUUUCUGGCUGUGCAGGUUCAAACCCAGAGUCUGGCUCUCCCAAAGAUUAUCUGAGUUAUUCUAUUAUUUUACAAAGUUUGAAAUAGCCAUUAGAUACCCUUACAAACUUAUCAUUUUUGUGAUUGAUUUUAAGUCUACUGAAAAUGUCAAAAGAAAUCCAAAACUGAUUGCUAGUAACUAGGCCAGGUGUGGUGGCUCACACCUGUAAUCCCAGCACUUUGGGGCCGGGGCAGGCAGAUUGCUUGAGCUCAGGAGUUCGAGACCAGCCUGGGCAACAUGGCAAAACUCCAUAUUUACAAAAAAUACAAAAAAUUAGCCGGACAUGAUGGUGUGUGCCUGUUGUCCCCGCUACUAGAAGGCUCAGAAAGAAGGAUCACUUGAGCCUGGGAGGCGGAGGUUGCAGUGAGCCAAGACUGUGCCACUGCACUCCAACCUGGGCAACAGAGACCCCAGCUCAAAAAAAUAAAAUUAGUGUUAACUUGUACUGUUUAGCCACAUUCAUUAAGUUUUUAAUUUUAACUCUACUAUCGCACAACCAGGAAUGUACAAGAGAUCUGGAGCCUGAUUUGCAUGGCAGGAAGGAGACCACGUAUUUUUGUUUGGGAUGGGUUUUAGCCACUAUCAGAGACAUAGUUUGUUUCUUA